AAACUUUGCAAUGUGCGAAAGCACGACAAGGUUAAUCCGAGUGUUUCCUGCUAAAGGAAUCUUUUGUUAGUCGUAAAACCACUAUCGAAUAAGGGGUGGGCAAGUUCUGGUGUCAGCCGCCGCGGUAAAACCAGCACCUCAAGUGGUCAGGAGGAUUAUUGGGCCUAAAGCAUCCGUAGCCUGCUUUGUUAGUUUUCGGUUAAAUCCAUAUGCUCAACAUAUGGGCUGCCGGGAAUACUGCAUAGCUAGGGAGUGGGAGAGGUAGACGGUACUCCGUAGGAAGGGGUAAAAUCCUUUGAUCUAUGGAUGACCACCUGUGGCGAAGGCGGUCUACCAGAACACGUCCGACGGUGAGGGAUGAAAGCUGGGGGAGCAAACCGGAUUAGAUACCCGGGUAGUCCCAGCUGUAAACUAUGCAAACUCAGUGAUGCAUUGGCUUGUGGCCAGUGCAGUGCCGCAGAGAAGUCGUUAAGUUUGCCGCCUGGGAAGUACGUACGCAAGUAUGAAACUUAAAGGAAUUGGCGGGGGAGCAC
Molecule: ribosomal RNA, 533 nt
Filed under: uncultured archaeon
Lineage: Archaea
Description: bacterial SSU rRNA
Rfam family: Archaeal small subunit ribosomal RNA
Source: RNAcentral